GAAAUCAAUUGAAACUAUAAACAAAGAUAUAAAUAACAAGGUAAGACAUAAUAGAAAAGGAUCCUCAACAUUAAUUAACAAUACCAAUUUUGAUAAAUUAACAAAAAAAACCAUUAUCAAAUUUCUGCAAACAAUAACUGAAAAAAAAGUUUACUUCAAACAUAACCACCUCUCAUCAUCCUACUGCAGAAACCUAACCUUGGCAAUCCAAAGAAAACGGCUCUUCAACGGUACU
Molecule: non-coding RNA, 235 nt
Organism: Vicia faba (fava bean)
Lineage: Eukaryota; Viridiplantae; Streptophyta; Magnoliopsida; Fabales; Fabaceae
Source: the annotation of a GenBank genome assembly